AUCCAGCCGAGGAGUCCUAAAUAGGACGACGAAUCAUGCGUCCUGGAU
This 48-nucleotide non-coding RNA is filed under the name Schistosoma mansoni. The record is from RNAcentral. Lineage: Eukaryota; Metazoa; Platyhelminthes; Trematoda; Strigeidida; Schistosomatidae.